GUCUGUCGGACACCUGGCAUAUGGGCACACGGCAUCAGUCCUUAAUAGUUUUAAAACUGUACUUUAGAGUGGCCACAUUGGUUCCCAGUGUCUUGAAGCCUCCGGUCAGAGCUCUGACGUACUGCAGUGCACGGAAAGGAAAGAGAAAGACAGUGAAGUCGGUUGUGCAUCGCUUCCUCCGACUUCACUCUGGCCUUUGGCUAAGGAGAAAGGCUGGCUAUAAGAAAAAAUUAUGGAAAAAGUCAACUGCAAGAAAGAAGCGCUUGAGGGAAUUCGUGUUCUGCAAUAAGACCCAGAGUAAACUCCUAGAUAAAAUGACGACAUCUUUCUGGAAGAGGCGCAACUGGUACACUGGUGAUCCCUACCAGAUGUACCAUGAUCGGACAAACCUGCGGGUAUAGUUCAGAGCUCACACAAGUUCCCAACUCUGGGAUGUGGAGCUUUAUGCACAGAUGUCCUUGCAAAAGUGAGUGUGUGUUAAACUGUAAACUGUACCGGCUGAUAGACAAACUUAGGUCACCACCAUUGUGCAUUAAACGUUCCCAGAGCUGGUCACUGAACUC
Molecule: long non-coding RNA, 563 nt
Filed under: Rattus norvegicus (Norway rat)
Lineage: Eukaryota; Metazoa; Chordata; Mammalia; Rodentia; Muridae
Description: long non-coding RNA NONRATT021482
Source: RNAcentral